ACUCAGCCCCUGGCCGGGCCCCGCGCCCUCGGCCGCCGCGCAGGGGCUGGACGCGCGCCGCGGCUCCCUAGCCGGCCGGCCGACGCUCGGGGCGUACUCACAAUGAGCGGGAUGGUGCGGUCCUCGCGGAGCUGCUCCGACCUCCUGCCGGCCCUCUGCGCGCCCCGGCCGCCGGAGGAUGCUGCGUGGGCUCGGUUGUCCUGCCAUAAGUAGUAGAAAGUGCCCAGGAUCCAGGCUACGGUCAGGAUGGCGAUGGCAUUGGCGCGGAUCUUCCUCAUGGAAUGGACUCCAGCAGCAUCACAGAAUCAAAGCAACACCUAAGGAAUUCACUGUUUCUUCACAUACUUUGAACUGUGAAAACAAGAGUCAUCAUAAUAGCUGCAGUUUACUCAGUACCUACCAGGUGCCAGCCACUGUGCCACCACUUCACCUAUACUGUCUCUAAAGCCCCUACAACCCUGAGCUAAGGAUGAUCAUAUCCCCAACUGCAGAUGAUGACACUGAGGCUCAAAGGCUACUCAACUUGCCUGGAAUCCUACAGCAAAAUACUGCAUUGUGUCACAAGAAUUCAACUAUGUACUCAUGGAAAAGGAGGG
Molecule: long non-coding RNA, 596 nt
Filed under: Pan troglodytes (chimpanzee)
Lineage: Eukaryota; Metazoa; Chordata; Mammalia; Primates; Hominidae
Description: lincRNA
Source: RNAcentral